GCCCGGGUGGCUCAGUCGGUUGAGUGUCUGACUUCGGCUCAGGUCAUGGUCUUGCGGUCUGUGGGUUUGAGCCCCGUGUCAGGCU
Molecule: non-coding RNA, 85 nt
Organism: Felis catus (domestic cat)
Lineage: Eukaryota; Metazoa; Chordata; Mammalia; Carnivora; Felidae
Source: Rfam